CUUUGGAGGAAGAAGUUUUGCUUUUAGCUGUCGCUCUUGAUGAAGACGAAGGUGAAUCCCAGCGAAAGAGACUAAUCGCUUGGGUUCGUGAUAUAAACUUGUCAAGAGAGGAACUGGGGGAGUUUUAUACACUGAUACCCCAACUCCUGAAGGACGAAAAACGGUUCUACAUAUAUUUCAGGAUGAAUAUUGACAGGUUUGAUGAAAUCCUGAGAGCCGUCAGGCAAGAUAUCACUAAACAGUAUACCAAUUGGUGGAGGCCUAUUCUUGCCAUGAAGUGGAGGAUUUUUUUGAGACUCAUAGAACUGAAAGAAGAAAAUAUAAAACACAUUGUAUCAGCAGCAUAUUUGCUUCAUAAUUUUCUACGUCUCAAAAACUGCGAUGAAAAGUACAGGGAAGAACUGCUACGAGUGGAGCCAUUAGAAGGAGAAAUGUAUCAUAUCCAACCUUUACGUCUCCCAAGGGCGGCAAACGUUAGCUACGCCAUUAGAGAGCGGUUUGUUGCAUACUUCAACUAGAUGACUGUCCCUGGAAUUCGUGUUAGUGAACGGAACUGGUGCAUAGCCUACAUUAAGAAUGUCCAUAGUUACUGUAUACUUAACCCUAUAUAAAUAUAUACAAAUUUUUCUA
Long non-coding RNA from Cryptotermes secundus, 630 nucleotides. RefSeq lists it as uncharacterized. The transcript has 2 exons. Lineage: Eukaryota; Metazoa; Arthropoda; Insecta; Blattodea; Kalotermitidae. The record is from RefSeq and is a predicted model, not a curated record.